AGUGAACGCUGGCGGUAGGCCUAACACAUGCAAGUCGAACGGCAGCACAGUAAGAGCUUGCCCUUACGGGUGGCGAGUGGCGGACGGGUGAGGAAUACAUCGGACUCUACUUUUUCGUGGGGGAUAACGUAGGGAAACUUACGCUAAUACCGCAUACGACCUACGGGUGAAAGCAGGGGAUCUUCGGACCUUGCGCGAUUGAAUGAGCCGAUGUCGGAUUAGCUAGUUGGCGGGGUAAAGGCCCACCAAGGCGACGAUCCGUAGCUGGUCUGAGAGGAUGAUCAGCCACACUGGAACUGAGACACGGUCCAGACUCCUACGGGAGGCAGCAGUGGGGAAUAUUGGACAAUGGGCGCAAGCCUGAUCCAGCCAUACCGCGUGGGUGAAGAAGGCCUUCGGGUUGUAAAGCCCUUUUGUUGGGAAAGAAAAGCAGCAGGUUAAUACCCCACUGUUCUGACGGUACCCAAAGAAUAAGCACCGGCUAACUUCGUG
This 492-nucleotide ribosomal RNA is filed under the name uncultured bacterium. RNAcentral's name for it is "partial 16S ribosomal RNA". It matches the Rfam family "Bacterial small subunit ribosomal RNA", at positions 29 to 507 of the family's 1533-position model. The record is from RNAcentral.